Molecule: ribosomal RNA, 327 nt
Filed under: uncultured eukaryote
Lineage: Eukaryota
Description: partial 18S ribosomal RNA
Rfam family: Eukaryotic small subunit ribosomal RNA
Source: RNAcentral
CCCUUAGAUGUUCUGGGCUGCACGCGCGCUACACUGAAGCGUUCAACGAGUAUUCACCUUGCCCGGGAGGGUUGGGUAAUCUUUUGAAAACGCUUCGUGAUGGGGAUAGAUUAUUGCAAUUAUUAAUCUUCAACGAGGAAUUCCUAGUAAGCGCGAGUCAUCAGCUCGUGCUGAUUACGUCCCUGCCCUUUGUACACACCGCCCGUCGCUCCUACCGAUUGAGUGGUCCGGUGAGGCUUUGGGAUCUGAGCGGAAAGAGCGUUUCGCUGUUUCUGCUCGGAAAACUCAGUCGAACCUUAUCAUUUAGAGGAAGGAGAAGUCGUAACA